This 387-nucleotide ribosomal RNA is filed under the name Triticum aestivum (bread wheat). Its description in RNAcentral is "partial small subunit ribosomal RNA". The record is from RNAcentral. Lineage: Eukaryota; Viridiplantae; Streptophyta; Magnoliopsida; Poales; Poaceae.
AUGAUGGGAGCCAUGAUGACCAAGACCAGGAGGGCGCCAGCGGGCGCCAGAGGGCGUCAAGUGGUCUGGCAAGUCAAGUUCAAGCUAGAGCUACCCCCGCGCUACGACGGCAUUCCUGACUCGGCGGAGUUCCUUAAGCUCUAUGCGUUGAGCAUCAAGGCGACGAACGGCGACGACAAGGUCGUGGCGAAUUGGUUCCCCAUGGCUCUCAAGGAUGGCACGUGCUCCUGGCUCAUGCAUCUUCCGGAGGGGUCGAUCUCUUCAUGGGACGAGAUCCGCGAGCAGUUCAUCGCCAACUUCCAAAGCACCCGCGACCGCGCCCUCACCGUCAACGACCAGCGGCGCGUGAAGCAGUGCCUCGGCAAGACUCUUCGCAAGUACAUUUAG